GGAUUGUGGCUCAGCGGUAGAUGCUCGCCUUGCACGAGUGAGACCCUGGGUUCAAUCCUCAGCACCA
Molecule: transfer RNA, 67 nt
Filed under: Marmota monax (woodchuck)
Lineage: Eukaryota; Metazoa; Chordata; Mammalia; Rodentia; Sciuridae
Description: tRNA.Ala
Source: RNAcentral